ACGCUUGACACCUACGGGAGUCAGCAGUGGGGAAUAUUGCACAAUGGGGGAAACCCUGAUGCAGCGACGCCGCGUGGAGGAAGAAGGUCUUCGGAUUGUAAACUCCUGUUGUUGGGGAAAAAGAGGAUGGUACCCAACAAGGAAGUGACGGCUAACUACGUGCCAGCAGCCGCGGUAAUCUGAGCGGGCUGGCAAGGC
This 198-nucleotide ribosomal RNA is filed under the name uncultured bacterium. Its description in RNAcentral is "partial 16S ribosomal RNA". It matches the Rfam family "Bacterial small subunit ribosomal RNA", at positions 328 to 539 of the family's 1533-position model. The record is from RNAcentral.